Molecule: ribosomal RNA, 561 nt
Filed under: Goniomonas pacifica
Lineage: Eukaryota; Cryptophyceae; Goniomonadida; Goniomonadaceae
Description: partial Bacterial small subunit ribosomal RNA
Rfam family: Bacterial small subunit ribosomal RNA
Source: RNAcentral
UGUGGUUUAAUUCGAUGAUACGCGAGGAACCUUACCAGGGCUUAAAUGCAGGCUGCAUGGGGUAGAGAUACCCCUUUCUUCGGACCGCCUGCAAGGUGCUGCAUGGUUGUCGUCAGCUCGUGCCGUGAGGUGUCAGGUUAAGUCCUAUAACGAGCGCAACCCCUACCGUUAGUUGCCAGCAUGUCAAGAUGGGGACUCUAACGGGACUGCCGGUGCAAACCGUGAGGAAGGUGGGGACGACGUCAAAUCAUCACGGCCCUUACGUCCUGGGCUACACACGUGCUACAAUGGCCGGUACAGAGGGAAGCCACCCCGCAAGGGGGCGCGGAUCUACAAAACCGGUCACAGUUCGGAUCGGGGUCUGCAACUCGACCCCGUGAAGCUGGAAUCGCUAGUAAUCGUAGAUCAGCAUGCUACGGUGAAUACGUUCCCGGGUCUUGUACACACCGCCCGUCACACCACGAGAGUUUGUAACACCCGAAGCCGGUGGAGUAACCAUUUGGAGCUAGCCGUCGAAGGUGGGACAAAUGAUUGGGGUGAAGUCGUAACAAGGUAGCCGUA